Anastrepha ludens (Mexican fruit fly) is the source of this 1608-nucleotide long non-coding RNA. RefSeq lists it as uncharacterized. The record is from RefSeq and is a predicted model, not a curated record. The transcript is spliced from 3 exons. NCBI's taxonomy places the organism in Eukaryota, Metazoa, Arthropoda, Insecta, Diptera, Tephritidae.
AGAGCGUACGUGACGUCACGUUUGCAGAGUUGUGCAGUAUUGCCAACCAUUUGCUCUUCGCAAUAAAUUUAGUGCUUUUUUAUACCGAAAAUGCGACAAUUUUUAAGUUUGGUGUUGGUUUCUUUUUGUUUUUAAUUUAAGGCUACCGAGACUUAAGUUGAAAAAAACUGUAUUAUUAUACAAAAGAAGUUUAAAAAAGGCCACUCUGAGAAGAUUUUAGUGCUAAUGAAAAGUUUUUUACUCUUAUAAAAUUUGAUAAUUUGAAAGUGCAAAUUUAAUUUUUGGCUCCAUUUAAGGCUAUGCAAAUAUAUUAAAUGCCCCUCUCUCAACUCUUCUUAAGAGUGAAAUUCUUUUAACACAUUUUAAAAAGCCUUUGAAUUUAUUGAAUGCGAAUCGAAACCAUAGAGGUGUAAUCGUUUCUUCCGGUCAUCAAUCCUUAGUGAGACAUAGAGCAUCAAGAGGUAUAUUCAUAGUAAAAAUAAGCAACAAAAUACCAGAAAAUACUAAAGAAACCAUACUGACAUUUUUACAAAAAGAGUACCUUAUCUAUUUAGUUACAUAACUUCAAAUAUAGCAAAAAAGUCGUUCCCUUAACGAAAGAGUUUCGCUUAACAAAAAAAACUCAUAAAUUAAAUUGAACAUAAGCAUAACACAUUUAUUUAAAAAAAACGCACAUUCUACAGACAAUUUGUCACGCAUACAAAGUUCUUACUUAACACAAUAAAAAUUUCGUGUUUUAUUUUCUUUAAAUGGGCAUUUAGUGCGUUUUUAUAUCCAAAGCUAGGCAACUCUGCAGUAGCGAGAGAGAGAUUUGACUGCCGAAAGCAGAAGAACACCAACAACACCGGCAAUCGCGGGCAAUGCCACCAGAUGUUAAAAAAAAGUAAAGCUAAAUAAAACUGAGUGAAUUAUUUAAAUAAUUAUUAAAAAAUGUAUAUUUCACAAAAUUAUAAACAUGACAUUUUAAUUAGAACAGCUAGAAAAAUGUCAUGAAGAAAGAACUAAAACUCCGAGACAAAAAAUAAUAAAAAUAACAAAAAAAAAUGCUAAAUCAAGUUACGAAAAUGGUAAUCUGGCCAUACUGGAGCUAAAAUCACGUAACUAGUUGUCAAAUUCGCUGAGCGCAAAGUAACGGGACCACGAUGGGCGCCAUCUCAUUAUUCUUUGCAUCAUGUACUAUAAGUAUAUACUACAUGUAUUUGUUGUUGCGUUUGGUCCAAGCAUCACGUCAAAGUCAGUUGUUCAUUUGCAGUGUGAUUUGCUUGUGAAACGUACGCUGGAAAUAGUCACAAAAUAAAAAGUCGCCACAUUUCCUACAGUUCAUUGAAGAUUUCGUAUGUAGCAUAUGUGCAAUGUGGAUUUAUUAUGUGGGAAUUAAUUUGCCACGGGCAUGCAUAAGGUGAAAUUGAAUGUAGAGAGUGAAGUUUUGACGCGAAAAAGUUUAAAAUAGAGAAAUAUAACGCAAAAAAAAUUCGGAACAAGUGCAAAAUUAAAGUCUCAUUGCAUACAGAAAGUAAUGUAAUUCUAUAUCCUCAUAGGAUAUUGAUGGCUAUCAGAAAUCCACCUUGGCUGCUAAUAACUUCAUACUAAAUACUGUUGAGAUGCGCA